Acanthosepion pharaonis is the source of this 88-nucleotide non-coding RNA. The record is from the annotation of a GenBank genome assembly. Lineage: Eukaryota; Metazoa; Mollusca; Cephalopoda; Sepiida; Sepiidae.
GUUGAAAUACUACUUCCCGUAUGAGCAGCGAAGUAAAGCAACAUCGAGCCUGGUUAGUACUUUGAUGGGCGGCCGCUUGGGAAUACAA